AGAUUGAACGCUGGCGGUAUGCUUAACACAUGCAAGUCGAACGGCAGCACAGGGUAGCUUGCUAUCCGGGUGGCGAGUGGCGGACGGGUGAGUAACGCGUAGGAAUCUACCUUUUUGUGGGGGAUAACCCGGGGAAACUCGGGCUAAUACCGCAUACGCCCUACGGGGGGAAAGCGGGGGACCUUUGGGCCUCGCGCAAAAAGAUGAGCCUGCGUCCUAUCAGGUAGUUGGUGAGGUAAUGGCUCACCAAGCCGACGACGGGUAGCUGGUCUGAGAGGACGACCAGCCACACUGGGACUGAGACACGGCCCAGACUCCUACGGGAGGCAGCAGUGGGGAAUAUUGGACAAUGGGGGCAACCCUGAUCCAGCAAUACCGCGUGUGUGAAGAAGGCCUUCGGGUUGUAAAGCACUUUAGCAGGAAAGAAUGACUGUGCGUUAAUACCGCGCGGUUUUGACGUUUACUGUCAGAAAAACGCACCGGCUAACUCCGUGCCAGCAGCCGUCGUAAUC
RNAcentral lists this ribosomal RNA (512 nucleotides) under uncultured soil bacterium. RNAcentral's name for it is "bacterial SSU rRNA". It matches the Rfam family "Bacterial small subunit ribosomal RNA", at positions 26 to 525 of the family's 1533-position model. The record is from RNAcentral.